CUAGUAAUGGCAGGUCAGCAUACUGCCGUGAAUACGUUCCCGGGCCUUGUACACACCGCCCGUCACACCAUGAGAGUUGGGGAUACCCAAAGCCCGUGAGCCAACUUUUAGAGGCAGCGGUCUAAGGUAGAAUCAAUGAUUGGGGUGAAGUCGUAACAAGGUACC
This 165-nucleotide ribosomal RNA is filed under the name uncultured bacterium. RNAcentral's name for it is "partial 16S ribosomal RNA". It matches the Rfam family "Bacterial small subunit ribosomal RNA", at positions 1335 to 1500 of the family's 1533-position model. The record is from RNAcentral.